GCAGGGAUCGCAUAAUCUGGUAUUGCACCGGUCUCGAAAACCGGACCUUUAUAGGUGUCUGGGUUCAAAUCCCAGUCCCUGCG
This 83-nucleotide transfer RNA is filed under the name archaeon. RNAcentral describes it as "tRNA-Ser". It matches the Rfam family "tRNA". From Rfam's summary of the family: Transfer RNA (tRNA) molecules are approximately 80 nucleotides in length. The record is from RNAcentral.